This 774-nucleotide ribosomal RNA is filed under the name uncultured Neocallimastigales. RNAcentral describes it as "partial large subunit ribosomal RNA". It matches the Rfam family "Eukaryotic large subunit ribosomal RNA", at positions 24 to 628 of the family's 3401-position model. The record is from RNAcentral. Lineage: Eukaryota; Fungi; Neocallimastigomycota; Neocallimastigomycetes; Neocallimastigales.
UAUGUGAUCGUCUCUCGCAUAUCAAUAAGCGGAGGAAAAGAAACUAACAAGGAUUCCCCUAGUAACGGCGAGUGAAGCGGGAAGAGCUCAAAUUUGAAAUCUUAAAGGGUCUCCCUUUACGAAUUGUAGUUUAAAGAAGUGUUUUCUGUUGAGGUUUUGGUAAAAGUUCUUUGGAAUAGGACAUCAUAGAGGGUGAGAAUCCCGUAUUUGACCUUUACUUUCAACUUUGUGAUACACUUUCAAAGAGUCGGAUUGUUUGGGAAUGCAGUCCAAAAUGGGUGGUAAAUUUCAUCUAAAGCUAAAUAUUGGCGAGAGACCGAUAGCGAACAAGUACCGUGAGGGAAAGAUGAAAAGAACUUUGAAAAGAGAGUUAAACAGUACGUGAAAUUGUCAAAAGGGAAGCGUUUGACACCAGUGUUGUUUUUCUGAAAAUCAAUUAAAGAACUGUUUAUGCUAAGUUGUUUAGACUUUAUCAGCUAACUGUUUAGUUUUGAGCUUUUCUUUAAUGCACUUUUCAGUUAACAAGUCAACAUCAAUUUCUUUUGCUGUAAAAAAGCUUGAGGAAGGUGGCUUGAGAUUCGUCUUAAGUGUUUAUAGCCUCUUGCCUAUGCAGUCGGAGAGAUUGAGGUCUGCAGCGUAGAUCCUUCGGGGCUAAAUGCAUUUGUGCUAAGUUAUAGCAUUUUAUAGACAACUUGUUGACUAUGAUUUGUCUUGUAGCUUACUCGCUUAUGUUAUUUUACCUACGCUUAGGAUGUUGAGUCGUAGAGCACGCAG